This 253-nucleotide ribosomal RNA is filed under the name uncultured bacterium. RNAcentral's name for it is "partial 16S ribosomal RNA". It matches the Rfam family "Bacterial small subunit ribosomal RNA", at positions 524 to 776 of the family's 1533-position model. The record is from RNAcentral.
GACGGAGGAUGCAAGCGUUAUCCGGAAUGAUUGGGCGUAAAGCGUCCGCAGGUGGCAGUUCAAGUCUGCUGUCAAAGACCGGGGCUUAACUUCGGAAAGGCAGUGGAAACUGAACAGCUAGAGUAUGGUAGGGGCAGAGGGAAUUCCUGGUGUAGCGGUGAAAUGCGUAGAGAUCAGGAAGAACAUCGGUGGCGAAGGCGCUCUGCUGGACCAUAACUGACACUCAUGUGCGAAAGCGUGGGGAGCAAACAGG